Molecule: ribosomal RNA, 292 nt
Filed under: uncultured Verrucomicrobiota bacterium
Lineage: Bacteria; Pseudomonadati; Verrucomicrobiota
Description: uncultured Verrucomicrobia bacterium partial 16S ribosomal RNA
Source: RNAcentral
GGACUACCAGGGUAUCUAAUCCCGUUUGCUCCCCUAGCUUUCGUGCCUCAGUGUCAGGAAUUGUCCAGGGACUCGCCCUCGCCACUGGUGUUCCACUUGAUAUCUACGCAUUUCACUGCUACACCAAGUAUUCCAGUCCCCCCUCCAAUCCUCGAGCAAGGUAGUUUCCAAUGCCAUUUCGGAGUUAAGCUCCGAGCUUUCACAUCAGUCUUUCCUCACCACCUACGCACCCUUUACGCCCAGUGAAUCCGAACAACGCUUGGGACCUCUGUAUUACCGCGGCGGCUGGCAC